Molecule: ribosomal RNA, 2933 nt
Filed under: Escherichia coli
Lineage: Bacteria; Pseudomonadati; Pseudomonadota; Gammaproteobacteria; Enterobacterales; Enterobacteriaceae
Description: bacterial LSU rRNA
Rfam family: Bacterial large subunit ribosomal RNA
Source: RNAcentral
GGGUUGUGAGGUUAAGCGACUAAGCGUACACGGUGGAUGCCCUGGCAGUCAGAGGCGAUGAAGGACGUGCUAAUCUGCGAUAAGCGUCGGUAAGGUGAUAUGAACCGUUAUAACCGGCGAUUUCCGAAUGGGGAAACCCAGUGUGUUUCGACACACUAUCAUUAACUGAAUCCAUAGGUUAAUGAGGCGAACCGGGGGAACUGAAACAUCUAAGUACCCCGAGGAAAAGAAAUCAACCGAGAUUCCCCCAGUAGCGGCGAGCGAACGGGGAGCAGCCCAGAGCCUGAAUCAGUGUGUGUGUUAGUGGAAGCGUCUGGAAAGGCGUGCGAUACAGGGUGACAGCCCCGUACACAAAAAUGCACAUGCUGUGAGCUCGAUGAGUAGGGCGGGACACGUGGUAUCCUGUCUGAAUAUGGGGGGACCAUCCUCCAAGGCUAAAUACUCCUGACUGACCGAUAGUGAACCAGUACCGUGAGGGAAAGGCGAAAAGAACCCCGGCGAGGGGAGUGAAAAAGAACCUGAAACCGUGUACGUACAAGCAGUGGGAGCACGCUUAGGCGUGUGACUGCGUACCUUUUGUAUAAUGGGUCAGCGACUUAUAUUCUGUAGCAAGGUUAACCGAAUAGGGGAGCCGAAGGGAAACCGAGUCUUAACUGGGCGUUAAGUUGCAGGGUAUAGACCCGAAACCCGGUGAUCUAGCCAUGGGCAGGUUGAAGGUUGGGUAACACUAACUGGAGGACCGAACCGACUAAUGUUGAAAAAUUAGCGGAUGACUUGUGGCUGGGGGUGAAAGGCCAAUCAAACCGGGAGAUAGCUGGUUCUCCCCGAAAGCUAUUUAGGUAGCGCCUCGUGAAUUCAUCUCCGGGGGUAGAGCACUGUUUCGGCAAGGGGGUCAUCCCGACUUACCAACCCGAUGCAAACUGCGAAUACCGGAGAAUGUUAUCACGGGAGACACACGGCGGGUGCUAACGUCCGUCGUGAAGAGGGAAACAACCCAGACCGCCAGCUAAGGUCCCAAAGUCAUGGUUAAGUGGGAAACGAUGUGGGAAGGCCCAGACAGCCAGGAUGUUGGCUUAGAAGCAGCCAUCAUUUAAAGAAAGCGUAAUAGCUCACUGGUCGAGUCGGCCUGCGCGGAAGAUGUAACGGGGCUAAACCAUGCACCGAAGCUGCGGCAGCGACGCUGAUGCGUUGUUGGGUAGGGGAGCGUUCUGUAAGCCUGCGAAGGUGUGCUGUGAGGCAUGCUGGAGGUAUCAGAAGUGCGAAUGCUGACAUAAGUAACGAUAAAGCGGGUGAAAAGCCCGCUCGCCGGAAGACCAAGGGUUCCUGUCCAACGUUAAUCGGGGCAGGGUGAGUCGACCCCUAAGGCGAGGCCGAAAGGCGUAGUCGAUGGGAAACAGGUUAAUAUUCCUGUACUUGGUGUUACUGCGAAGGGGGGACGGAGAAGGCUAUGUUGGCCGGGCGACGGUUGUCCCGGUUUAAGCGUGUAGGCUGGUUUUCCAGGCAAAUCCGGAAAAUCAAGGCUGAGGCGUGAUGACGAGGCACUACGGUGCUGAAGCAACAAAUGCCCUGCUUCCAGGAAAAGCCUCUAAGCAUCAGGUAACAUCAAAUCGUACCCCAAACCGACACAGGUGGUCAGGUAGAGAAUACCAAGGCGCUUGAGAGAACUCGGGUGAAGGAACUAGGCAAAAUGGUGCCGUAACUUCGGGAGAAGGCACGCUGAUAUGUAGGUGAAGUCCCUCGCGGAUGGAGCUGAAAUCAGUCGAAGAUACCAGCUGGCUGCAACUGUUUAUUAAAAACACAGCACUGUGCAAACACGAAAGUGGACGUAUACGGUGUGACGCCUGCCCGGUGCCGGAAGGUUAAUUGAUGGGGUUAGCCGCAAGGCGAAGCUCUUGAUCGAAGCCCCGGUAAACGGCGGCCGUAACUAUAACGGUCCUAAGGUAGCGAAAUUCCUUGUCGGGUAAGUUCCGACCUGCACGAAUGGCGUAAUGAUGGCCAGGCUGUCUCCACCCGAGACUCAGUGAAAUUGAACUCGCUGUGAAGAUGCAGUGUACCCGCGGCAAGACGGAAAGACCCCGUGAACCUUUACUAUAGCUUGACACUGAACAUUGAGCCUUGAUGUGUAGGAUAGGUGGGAGGCUUUGAAGUGUGGACGCCAGUCUGCAUGGAGCCGACCUUGAAAUACCACCCUUUAAUGUUUGAUGUUCUAACGUUGACCCGUAAUCCGGGUUGCGGACAGUGUCUGGUGGGUAGUUUGACUGGGGCGGUCUCCUCCUAAAGAGUAACGGAGGAGCACGAAGGUUGGCUAAUCCUGGUCGGACAUCAGGAGGUUAGUGCAAUGGCAUAAGCCAGCUUGACUGCGAGCGUGACGGCGCGAGCAGGUGCGAAAGCAGGUCAUAGUGAUCCGGUGGUUCUGAAUGGAAGGGCCAUCGCUCAACGGAUAAAAGGUACUCCGGGGAUAACAGGCUGAUACCGCCCAAGAGUUCAUAUCGACGGCGGUGUUUGGCACCUCGAUGUCGGCUCAUCACAUCCUGGGGCUGAAGUAGGUCCCAAGGGUAUGGCUGUUCGCCAUUUAAAGUGGUACGCGAGCUGGGUUUAGAACGUCGUGAGACAGUUCGGUCCCUAUCUGCCGUGGGCGCUGGAGAACUGAGGGGGGCUGCUCCUAGUACGAGAGGACCGGAGUGGACGCAUCACUGGUGUUCGGGUUGUCAUGCCAAUGGCACUGCCCGGUAGCUAAAUGCGGAAGAGAUAAGUGCUGAAAGCAUCUAAGCACGAAACUUGCCCCGAGAUGAGUUCUCCCUGACUCCUUGAGAGUCCUGAAGGAACGUUGAAGACGACGACGUUGAUAGGCCGGGUGUGUAAGCGCAGCGAUGCGUUGAGCUAACCGGUACUAAUGAACCGUGAGGCUUAACCUUACAACGCCGAAGGUGUUU